GGCGGCGCGCCUAACACAUGCAAGUCGAACGAGCGAGAGAGAGCUUGCUUUCUCGAGCGAGUGGCGAACGGGUGAGUAACGCGUGAGGAACCUGCCUCAAAGAGGGGGACAACAGUUGGAAACGACUGCUAAUACCGCAUAAGCCCACGGGUCGGCAUCGACCAGAGGGAAAAGGAGCAAUCCGCUUUGAGAUGGCCUCGCGUCCGAUUAGCUAGUUGGUGAGGUCACGGCCCACCAAGGCGACGAUCGGUAGCCGGACUGAGAGGUUGAACGGCCACAUUGGGACUGAGACACGGCCCAGACUCCUACGGGAGGCAGCAGUGGGGAAUAUUGCACAAUGGGGGAAACCCUGAUGCAGCGACGCCGCGUGGAGGAAGAAGGUCUUCGGAUUGUAAACUCCUGUUGUUGGGGAAGAUAAUGACGGUACCCAACAAGGAAGUGACGGCUAACUACGUGCCAGCAGCCGCGGUAAAACGUAGGUCACAAGCGUUGUCCGGAAUUACUGGGUGUAAAGGGAGCGCAGGCGGGAAGACAAGUUGGAAGUGAAAUCUAUGGGCUCAACCCAUAAACUGCUUUCAAAACUGUUUUUCUUGAGUAGUGCAGAGGUAGGCGGAAUUCCCGGUGUAGCGGUGGAAUGCGUAGAUAUCGGGAGGAACACCAGUGGCGAAGGCGGCCUACUGGGCACCAACUGACGCUGAGGCUCGAAAGUGUGGGUAGCAAACAGGAUUACAUACCCUGGUAGUCCACACCGUAAACGAUGAUUACUAGGUGUUGGAGGAUUGACCCCUUCAGUGCCGCAGUUAACACAAUAAGUAAUCCACCUGGGGAGUACGACCGCAAGGUUGAAACUCAAAGGAAUUGACGGGGGCCCGCACAAGCAGUGGAGUAUGUGGUUUAAUUCGACGCAACGCGAAGAACCUUACCAAGUCUUGACAUCCCUUGACAGACAUAGAAAUAUGUAAUCUCUUCGGAGCAAGGAGACAGGUGGUGCAUGGUUGUCGUCAGCUCGUGUCGUGAGAUGUUGGGUUAAGUCCCGCAACGAGCGCAACCCUUAUGGUCAGUUACUACGCAAGAGGACUCUGGCCAGACUGCCGUUGACAAAACGGAGGAAGGUGGGGAUGACGUCAAAUCAUCAUGCCCUUUAUGACUUGGGCUACACACGUACUACAAUGGCGUUAAACAAAGAGAAGCAAGACCGCGAGGUGGAGCAAAACUCAGAAACAACGUCCCAGUUCGGACUGCAGGCUGCAACUCGCCUGCACGAAGUCGGAAUUGCUAGUAAUCGUGGAUCAGCAUGCCACGGUGAAUACGUUCCCGGGCCUUGCACU
This 1328-nucleotide ribosomal RNA is filed under the name uncultured bacterium. RNAcentral describes it as "bacterial SSU rRNA". It matches the Rfam family "Bacterial small subunit ribosomal RNA", at positions 38 to 1387 of the family's 1533-position model. The record is from RNAcentral.